AAAUGUACACAGUUGGGUCACUGCCACUUUUACCAAGAGAUAAAACACUUUCAGAAAGUUUCUGCACGCCUCUUUGCAAUCAGUCAGCCACUCCCCACUUCAGGUAACAACAGAGCUGCUUCCUGUAGCUACUGUGUGAAUUUACGUGUCACAGAAUGCUGUACAAACAGAGUUCUAUGCAGCCCGGGCUCUUUGUCCACCUGGCUCAGCAUGGCCCCAGUGACUGCAUGAGGCUGUACGUAUCUGCAGCCUGCCCCUUUUCAUGGUGUUUAUCCACUCACACAGUGAUGAGCAGUGGUGGAGGCAAUGCCCAGAGCUGUGGCAGCCACCUUGCAGCCGUGAAGCACCAGUGGGAAUGACAGUCAAGAGAACCACGGAGAUGCCAGCCCCUGGACCCACAGCAGCAGCACCUGCUUCCAGACUCAGAGUGUGAGAAAAAAAUAAACUCCUAUUUGUUUAUGGCAAGAGACAAGGUCUAGCUCUGUGAUGCAGGCCGGAGGACAGUGGUGUGAUCACAGCUCACUGCAGCCUUGAACUCCUGGGUUCCAGCAAUCCUCCCACCUCAGCCUCCUUAGUAGGCGUGGCUACAGUAAUGGAAGACAGCAAAAGAAGUUUGGAGAUUCCUGGUUUAAAGCAUUUAAAGCCUCUGUGAAAAUUUGCCCAGGCCAACAACUUCACUUUCCACACUCAGUGCCACGAAGUGCAGCUCUAAGCUGGGGAUUUCUGUGCAGAGAUGAUCCACUGAGUGCAACCCACCACCGUGCGGACACCACCCCUGCAGAAUCAUCUGUGAAAACAACCCCAGGCCCAGACAUAGGGGCCAGCUAAGCUUCGUAGCCCUCGAAAUACAGGGAGUGCCCCCUCUGGACCCUCGAGCCCACAGUCCAUCCACCACAGAGGUGUCUGCUGCUCAUCAGAUAGUUCCUACCAAGAAAAUGCUGUGUGAACCCAUCUGUGUGGCAAACCGGCACGGGGAGAAAGCUGACUUCCAAGGACGUCUACCAACUGUCACUUGCAAACCAGAACUUGCCUCUUUGUAGAUGAAGACUGGCAGGGCUGAAGAAAUGAUCUCAUGUUGAAAUUAAUGAUGAGCUUCAGGGUGAGGUGACUCAGUUCGAAUGCUGUUGAAUGUUGGUGUCAUGGGACUUUUACAAGAAGUAAAACUGGGCUAUAAAAAUGAUCCCCUUCCCCUCACUAGAGAAGGGAGGUUCUAUUCCUCUCUCUGUCUUUCCCUCUCUCUAUAUAUACCAAAGGUCAAAUCUUUGGUAUUUUGCAUUGAGUCUUUAAUUAUUCAUUCACUUUGACCUAGUAAUUGCACUUCAGAAAAAUAAAGGAAAAACUCGGGGCAUAAGUGGUGGUUAUGGGGGGCAGGGGAAGCGGGCAUGUGGUUGUUUUUCUCUUUUAUUUUUAAAUUUUUUGCUUUUUCUGCAUUUCUCAGGUUUGCCCUAAUGAGAUGCCUGACUUUAAUAAGAGAAGAAACCAUCAGUGUUUGCAAAGCCCCCUCAGUGUGCCUCACACUCCCUCUUCAGGCACAGCAGGCAUCUUCUCUGAGUGCCAGGGCCCCGGUGACCACACACCCACAUACACGGACCACCCACUCAACCCCUCAGGGAACACUGCCACCCCCACUUGCUACAUCAACUGCCUUUUCACCUUGUUUAGAAGCAAAAGUCAACUCAGGGGCCAGGAGACCCUGGGCAUGGGGCUAGGUCUGGGCAAGGUCUCGAGUCAGGGAGAGAGGGGCAAGGAGCCAUGUGCCUGGAGUGAGGCUGUGUCCCUGCCCUGGGCAAGUCAGGGUGGCUGGAACCUGCCCUUCUGGAGUGGGCCCCUCGAACUUGUUAGAGUACUUAUAACCUCCUGUCUGCACCCAGAAAACCCGCCCAGGAAGCAUUUCAUGUGGUGAAGAGAGAUUCCAAACUGGAACUUGGAGGCUCGUUCCCAGCCCCUCUCUGACGCCGAUUUCUUGAGUUGAUUUUGCCUGUGCAUUGAGCAGUUGGGGCUACAUAAGGUUUACAGGAUUCUAAAAAAUUAUCAUGACAUAUGUCAGGCAUACCAAAAGUGUAAUGAGUCAUAGAAUAAACACCUAGGCACACCCCUACUCAGCUGAAGAAGUAAAACAGUAUCAAGGUAGUGGAAAUCCCUCCUGCAUCCCUCUUCCCCCUCCCCAGUCUCCCACAACCCUUCCCCACCCCACUCGCAGUGGGGAGAAGCAUGGCCCUCAGCUCUCUUUAUGCGCUCACUUCUUAUAUCUCCCUAAACAAUAUAUGAAACAAUUUUCCAUAAGCGUCACUUGAAUACAAGCAGUCUAAUAUUGUAUAUACUUGCCUGUAACUUGCUUUUGUUUUUACUUUUCCUCUUGAAAUAAUGUUGAAUUCACAGAAGAGUUGCACAGAUGCCAAGUUCCCUGACACUCUUCACCAGCUUCCCCUAGUCUGAACAUCUUAUAUAACCACAGUCCAUUGAUCAAAACUAAGACAUUUACAUUGGUGCAUCCCCAUCAACUAAGUCACACUUUGGCUCAAAUUCCACCAGUGUUUCCACUCAUGUCCUUUUUGUGUUCCAGGAUCCUGGGACUUCAGGACACCACGUUGUAUGUAGCUGUAUGCCUCCUUAGUCUCAAUGUCAUGUUAGUGAUAUCUGAUGUGUGUGCUCAUCUUCACUGUUCCACGGUAUUUUAUUGUGUGAAAACAGCACAAUUUAUCCAUCCACUCUCCUAUUGAUGGACAUUUAGGCUGUUUUCAAAUUUGCCAUUAAAAAUGCUGCAGUGGACUUCCUUGUGCACAUCUUCUUAUGAGCGCUUAGGGCUGGGGUUAGGAGCGGAAUUGCAGGCUCACAGGGAAGGGCCAGAGUCGGCUUCACUAGGAAGCAAAGUUGCUUUCCAAAGUCCCUUGGCCAAUUUACUCUGGCAAAGUCUGAGUUCCCAUUUCUCUAUGUUCCUGCAGCACUUGCUAAUGUCAGACUUCCAAAUUUCUGUAAAUCUUGGGGGAGCAGGAUGUGAAAUGACAUGACUUGUUUGAAUUUGCAUUUCCCUGUUAGGUUGAACAGUUUCUCAAUGGUUAUUUGUCAUCCAAGCUUUGUCUCUAAAUUUCCUCUUCUGUUAAGGUUUCCCCCCAUUUUUCUAUAGGAUGAUUUUUUUUCACAAUUUAAGUGUUUGUGUGUGUAUGUGAUACUAAUAAUUCAUUAUCACUGUAGACAUGAAGAUGUGCCUCUGACAUUUCCCUUAAGGAAAGGACUUGCUAAUUGAGUUAAGGAGCUUGAGAGGAAGGGAUCAUCCUGGAUUAUCUGGGUAGGCCCCAAAUCCAAUGAUGGUGUCCUUAUUAACAGAGGGGCAGAGGGAGGUUUGAGACAGACAUGCAGAGUAGAGAGGUGGACAGAACAGAAUAGGCAGAGAGGAGAAGGUCAAGUGAGGCGGAAGUAGACAUCAAUGGCCUGUCUCCUCCCUGGCCAAAGCUGACUGGGCAAGAGAAGGACCCAUGAGCUGAGCCAACCCCUGUGGCUGACCAGUGGCCUGGCAGGCAUUGCCCAUUGAGGAAAGGUGCUUUCACAGGAAGGCUGCAGUACAUUGGGGUGGGGUGCCCAUGCUGGGCCAUGUGUGGGACAAGGAGAAACAGAAGAAUCUAGUCUUGGAGAAAUGGUGGCCGUGGUGAUGUGGAGAGAGAAGCAGGGAUGAAGGAGACCUGGGAAGCCCUGGCAUUUCCAGAUGCCCUGAAAUUGAAUUGGUAAGUUUUUAAAAAUCCCUUCUAUUUAUUUAUUUAUUUAUUUAUUUAUUUAUUUAUGAGAAAGGGUCUAGCUCUGUGACCCAGGCCGGAGGACAGUGGCAUGAUCAUAGCUCACUGCAGCCUCGAACUGAGCACCAGCUGCUUUCAGCUCCUGUCCACAGUGAGCUGUUGCAAGAGUUUCCUGGGGCUGCUGGAGCAAAGUACCCCAAACUGGGUGGCUUCGAGAAGACAGACUUAUUCUCCCAGUUCUAGAGGCUGAAAGUCUGGGACGAGGUGUUUGCAGGGCAAUGCUAUCCCCAGACGCUCUGGGGAAGCAUGCUUCCUCACUUCUCCCUGGCUCCUGACAGUUUCCUGUGGGUCUUUGAGGUUCCCUGGCUGGUCGAGGUCUCACUCCUGCCCCGGUUUUCAUGUGGCCACCUUCCCUCCAUGCUUGUCUGUCCCUGUGUCUGAAUUUCCCCUUUGUGUGACACCAGGCUUCUUGGGUUAGGACCCAGACUCAUGACUUCAUUUCAACUCCAUUCCCUCUAUAAAUACCCUGUCUCUAAAUGAGGCCACAUCUACGGUACUAGGGGUCAGGCAUGAACGUAUCUUUUUAGGAAAAAUCAAUUCAUUCCCAAUACCUGAGAACUCGUCUUUUGCAUCCUUGUAAUAGUAUUCCCCUUUUAUUUGAGGAGUGAGAGUGGGUUUCCUUGCUUGUAACCGGUGGGUCUCCACCACAGUGGUUUGUGGGUGCUCACUUCCAUGUGAGUGAGGAGCCGGGGGGCCCUGGGGUGUGCUCCCACGGGCUGUGUCUGUCCGCACCGCACAACAGGUGACGGCCAAAGCUGUGGGCAGAAAGUAGAGAACUGGAUGCAAGUGUUUGCCAGGUUGGCCUCGGAAUGUUAGAUCAGCCUCUGGCCCCCCAAACCUCCAGGAAAAGAAGCAGUGGUGGGGUUCAGCCUGAACCCUAAACAACCUCCAUGACUGGUCCCGUUCUUAUUCCAUUUUGUGGGUAGAGACUGGACUGGUGUUUGAAGGUUUCUCACAUUAUUUUCCGUGUCUAUGCCUCCACAGUUUCCUGCGGCUGUCUGCACACCCAGACCAGAGCAGUUCCUGCCUUUGCGCUUUGCACCAUUUUCCUUGGUGAACUUCUAUUCAUCCUUCAAAGCCCAGCAGUAAUCAUCCUUUAGAAAGUCUUCUUUCAGAGGGAACCAAAAAGGUAAUCGCUGGAGACAGACAGAUGCUGCCUGAAUGCCUGUUGUGUUGUGUGGUUGUGGGAAUGUUACUUCACCUCUCCGUGCCUCAGUUUCCUCAGCUGUAAUGGGGAUGGUAACAGUGUCUAGGGGUACUGCUUGGAAUGCACAUAGGGAGAUGAGUGAAGGCCCAGCACUAGAAGAGUGCAGGCACUAGCAGAGUGCAGGCGCAAUUGCUGCUGGGACCAGCAGGUAACUCGCAUCCAAGUUACAGUGCCCAGCCCCAGCAGCAGCCUCAGCACCAGGCAGAGUGUGCUCAGCACUGUGGGGGGCCAAGAGGACUUGAGGGCCGCUGGUCUGUGAUUCUCUCAUCUCUUUUGAGGUUCAGGACUUGGCGUCUCUCCUAGAAGCUCUGGGGAACCUGACAAAUCCUCCAGGAGGACACAGAACGCAGGAAGGGCUGGCUCGGGGUGCACCAAGAUGGCUGCCCCGAGACACCGUAUCUGAGGGCUUGGGUGGAACUGAGGAGAGGGCGGCUGGGAAGGCCAUCCGGGAGGAAAGGGCAGACGGCUACGGCAGCGUCAGGUGGUACAGUUUGCCCCGGAAGUGAGGUAAAGAAGAGAGCGGGAGGAGAGAGGGCCACAUGCCUCUCAGCCAUGGCCCUGAAUGCUGGCUUGGCUGAGCCUCAUCUUUGCUGUUUGCAGAAUGGGGAGAAUUGUGCCUGCCCAGCCUCCUCCUUGGGGACUCCAGGGGCCCAAAGAACCAAGAGCUGCAAAUGUCCUGGUGGCCUUGGAAGUUUAUGGAUGGUACAGAUCUGGGGUGGAGGGCAUGGCCAGGACAGGGAGGGCUGUCAGAGAGAGGGUCUGUGGGUUUGUGGAGUGUGGGGAUCAGUCGCUGACUCAUUAGAUGAACCAGGAGCCUGCAUGCUACAGCCCACCUGCCAAAUCUUGCCCCCACCUGCUUUUUAAAAUAAAGUUUUAUUGGAACAUG
Molecule: long non-coding RNA, 5881 nt
Organism: Homo sapiens (human)
Lineage: Eukaryota; Metazoa; Chordata; Mammalia; Primates; Hominidae
Exons: 5
Source: RefSeq, a predicted model, not a curated record